RNAcentral lists this transfer RNA (46 nucleotides) under Panonychus ulmi (European red spider mite). Its description in RNAcentral is "tRNA-Pro". Lineage: Eukaryota; Metazoa; Arthropoda; Arachnida; Trombidiformes; Tetranychidae. The record is from RNAcentral.
CAGAUUAAAAAAAAAUUAUUUUGGAUAUAAUUAAUUAAUUAUCUGA